This 956-nucleotide long non-coding RNA is filed under the name Danio rerio (zebrafish). Its description in RNAcentral is "si:ch211-105d18.8 (ENSDARG00000094456.3)". Lineage: Eukaryota; Metazoa; Chordata; Actinopteri; Cypriniformes; Danionidae. The record is from RNAcentral.
CCGACGGGUUAACAUCACUGCUGAGGAACUGCACUAUUGAUCGUCUUCAAUAAAGUCUUCUCUCCGUAAGAACUUUGGUCAGCUUACUUGUUUUAUGUAUUAGAGUAAUCUAAUACAUUGGCGAGCCACCCAAGAACGGUUAAGCCAAAUACAGCAAAAUCUAACAAUUUGGCGAAGCCAGCCAGGAGAGACUGAAAAGAGGAAAACUCAUCAACUGCAACAAGAAAUGAACUGAAGAAUCUUGGAGAAUCUACAGUUAAAGCUGAAGAUAAACGGAUUUUGUUUGUGGACGAGUCCUGGAUCUACAUAUUGUAUCUGUGGACACACUUUAUUUUAAUCAACUGGAUCUCAUCUCAAAGAUCCUAGUGUUCCGAUGUUCCAGAGAAUGACCAGAGACACACAACACCAGACACCUAGAUGAACACACCUGAACAUUCACAGAACACAACCAUAUCCGCUACUUCCACUACAUCACAACUUCAAAUAGAAAUGGACUCAGGCAUUUAAGGAAAUGCAAGCUUCACCAUGCCUUGUUAUUCUGUCACUUUAAGUUAUAUAGCCUGUAUUGCAGAUUGCUGUAUACAUGAUUAACUUGUUUUAUGAUCAAAUAUGAUCAGAGGAGGGAUUGAAAGAUUAUGUGCAUUUUAGUUCAGUUGCAUUUACAUUGAUUAAACUGAUGUGAUAUGAUGGGUUGACCUGUGCCUCGACCCCCACAAACUGAUAGGUGUGAACUAAAUGACCCUUUUACAAUCUCAAUGGGUAUUAGCAAAACAACAGCUGAAACAUCUGAAGAGGGUCCUGCUGAGCCUCGUAAACAGAAUUGUUUGUUUGAUGCUAAUAUAAAGUACUGUCUCACAGACAGUACUUUGGGUUAAGUUACUUGAAGACCGACGGGUUAACAUCACUGCUGAGGAACUGCACUAUUGAUCGUCUUCAAUAAAGUCUUCUCUCCGUAA